GAGGGGAGCAGCGGAGACAGAGUCUCACGCACAGGUAUGCCCAGACACCCUGAACCCAGUUACUUAACCUCGUCAACCACUGUGGCAUCCGCGGGGUCCGUGGGCCCAUGGGUCUUCCGGGAGGGAUUCUGUGUCCCUGUUAUUGUGUGUCAAUAGGUGUUAGCCUGAUAUUUAUAUUUUUAAUGAGAGAAAACAAACUCCAGAAUUUGGGAACUGUUUUUCCGGUUUUGCUUUAUACCUCUUGGACACUCCUUCGAAGGACUGGAUCUGAGGGGCAUUGGGGUGCGACUACGGUGGACAAGGGAUGAUUAAUUUUCAUCCAAAAAUCUUUGGUGGAUUCCCCCGGCUCUCCAGCUCACCAGUCUAACAGUAGUUUAAAACAGAAGAUCAGCAACGUUUGGAGAGUUUUUUUUUCUUUGCGUUUUAAUGAUAAACUUGAUUUAUUCAAUUCUAUUCUGAGGUUGUCUUUCUAUAUUUUGAGUAUAAAACGAUGGCCAUACUAUGUUGGAACCACUAAGGUUCUUCUCUUCACUUGUUAUUCGUAAAGUCUCUUUGUAAUCUGAGAAUUUCCUGAGUAAACUGGGAACUGUUAUACAUAAUUCCUUGUUUUUGAGCAUUCUUUGUAAACAGGAAUCAGGAUUGGGGGUGGGGAGGGAGGGAGGAGUAGGAGUGCUGAUUUGUGUAACGGAAAAUCAUGGAUUACUUAUGUGAUGGAGCAAAGGUUUAAAAACUCUUAGCGUCCCCGGAUUUCCCCUUUUACUGUUUGCUGAAGAAAAUUCUGUCUUUGACUCCCUUCCUUACCCUCUCCUGGCCUGUGAGCUGCUUCCUCCCUAUUCAGUUUAUUUCCUCCUCCCCUCCCCGCCCCACUCCCCCACCCCCGCAGCCCCCUCCUCUUUUUCAGUGAAGCUGCUGGAGGAAAGUCGGGUUUGGGAGAAGACCCACACAGGCAAGGACAGCAGAACACUGACAUAUAGUUACACUCUUGUCGCCAGCACUGUCAUUAAGAUGUUGUGAAAAGACAAAGACAAAAGAGGAGAGGAAAGAAUAAUAUCUCCGUUUCAGGAGAUAUUCCACAAUAUUCCAGGAUGUUGUGCCUACUGUCCAGAGUCCUUGAUCCGAUGUAGUAAAGAGCUAGGGACAUUUUCACUGAAGGCUUUGAUUGCUGGCAAAAUCUCAUUAAAAGUGUAUACAUUGAUAGGUUGGCCACAGAAUGGCCAAAGAAGAGCCUCUGGCCUACAUCUGCCAAGAUAUAUGUGUAAGAAUACACUCUGCAGCAUUAUUUUUUAUUGUAAAAUAGCAGAACGAAUUUAUUAUUCAAUAAUUAUAAAAUGUUCAAAUGUAUGUGACUAUAUUCGGACAAUGAAAAAUGCAGCUGUUAAAAAUAGACAAUACUGAUGAUUCAGAUGAUGUUACUGAUGAAAAUAAUAACAGAUGACAAUUAUUGAGCAUUUAUGCAAUCUUACAUGCAUUACCUUAUUUAAAGUUCAGAACAACUAAGGAAAUGAGUAACUUGGGGCGGGCGUGAGAGGUUUGGAGGCACAAAAGGAAGAUAGGCAUUCAAGGGACACCAGGAUAGAAGAGCCACAGUAGAAGAGAGAGGAAGAGGAGUCCGCCAGGUGGGAUGCUGCAAGCCGCUGGAUAGCACGGCGGAGAUAGGGCGUUCCUGCCCCGCAAGCCUCCCUGCGACCGCAGGCCUCCGGCCGCCUUCUUCCAGGAAGACGCGCCCUGCUUUCUUCUGAUGUUGGUAGAGACGCUGCAAAGCGCAUCGUCCUCGAGCAUUUCUUCUCUCCCCAAGACCCUCCGAAGGAGCAUUUCUUCUCUCCCCAAGACCCUCCGAAGGAAGGAUGGGCGGACAGACUAAGUGGUCAAACGCGCAGAGCUCCAGCUUCCGCAGGAGCAUUUCCCGAGUGUCUUUCAUGGGUAAGAGUGGGCCCUGCAGGAUAAUGCCUCCCGUUCCCUGAGGAGCAGUGCGGGAGAUGCCCAUGUGGCCAGCUCCUGGGCCACGCGACCCAGGCCCUCCAGGAGGAGCGAGGAGUCCUGGGCCCUGAGCCAGCCCCCUGGACCGGCUGUGCCAAGAGAAGCAGCAAGGGAAGGGGUCCCCUCCUGCCUCAGGGUCUCUGUCCUCCUGGGGUUAAGAGACGUGCAUCCAACUCCCUCUCCAAGUGCUGGAGAGGAGGCUAGGUCUUUCCCACGGGCUGGGGGCCUUGCUGUCCCAAGGACGGCUGGGGAGGAGGAGGAGGCCGGUUGAGAUAUGUGAAGCAGCUCUGGCUACAGCGGGUAGGGAGAGGGCGCGCGGGACCCAGGAGCCUCCGUGCGGAGCCAGGCCUCAGGAGCAGCCGCCUUGUUCCUGGAAGGGGUGCCUCCCUCCAUCUUGUCUCCAAAGACUGUAGGGAGACCUUCUCGCCCGGUAGGAAAGCGACGUCUCCCAUGCUUUCCCACCACGCAGGCCUUGUGGCCUUUCUCCUGCUAGUGUCUGCCCUCCAACCUGCGGGGGCUGCGGCUGCCACGGUUCCACGCUGGGUGGACGCUGCCUGCCCGGGAUCCAAGAGCCGCCGUUGCAGGCGGGAGUUGGGGAGUCGUGUGCAGGUCCGAAGGAGACCCAAGCUCUUGGUCAAGGCUUUUUUGCUAUAGCCAAAUUCAGCGUGUAAAAGACAGAGAGCUCACAUCUGUCUGUUCGUAAGCUUCGGUGAGAACACCAAGGAAGCGCACUCAAGAUUCGUAGGAGGGCGGGAAGGGUCCCUGGCGGCGAUAUCCACAUCGGCGGUGAGCCAAGGCAUGUCAGGAGAGUGAGUGCGCGAACCCAGCCGCCGGAUAGCGCAAACACCACCGCGGACGAGGGCCCCGCAUGUGGAGAAAUCGCAGGGGUCAGCGGAGCCGAAGUGUGGUGGACUAGCCUCCUCCAGGGAGAACCCCCUUCCUGACCACUGUAUGUCCCCCGCCACAUAAGGGGAGAGGAGGGACAGCACAGCCUACUCUCCCCUGGCCGACGAUCAGGGUCACCACCUUCUCCUCUGCUCUCCCCUCGCCAUUCUUCCAAACCACCCUCCGCCAAAGAUUCCACGGACAGUCACCCUCCCAACAACCCAGGCCUCCUUUCAGCAGCGGCUCCCGCCCCACAGCCACCGCGCCCUCUCACCCCCGCGGUUCUGCCCGCCGCCUCUGCCGAGUCUGUGCACUUCACCUCCCUGGGUCCCGCUCCCCCCUGAGCUUACAGUGGACGAGGGGCAGGACGGGGGGAAGGCCAUUCGGCUGCCCUUCUAGCUUCAGAAUCACCCAGUGAACGGGUUUCAACCGUAGCCGGCAAGAUGCGCCUCUCCGGUUUUCCGAGGCUUUGGAACCUGCACAAUUGUUCUGCAAAAGACGGUGGCUCCGCCUAGCAUUGGAUGGGCGCUUGCUCUGCAUGGUGAUGCCGGAGCGAGGGUCGACUGUCCGUAUGUCGCAGUCGGGUGGUGUGCUUGCUUCCAAGUCUGGAGUUGGCUGGUUCAAGCUCGUUCUACUGAGCGUUUCUUGCAUUUUAAAAAUGCUUAAACCGCUGGCAACUUUCUUCUACCCAGCACAUUCUCUCAUGGAAUGGCAGAGCAAGACCAACUUUACCCGCCUCUCCUCCGUGUCUCCCAUACGACAUGAGGACGUAAAUCAAGAUCUGGAUUUUCAUCUGGUAUUGGAUUCCUUCUGCCCGGAAGACUCCUUUGACGUUUCUGUAGUGUGGGUCAGCUGGUAGUGAAUUCGGUCAGCUUAUGAACUCAAAAGAGGUGUAGGAGGAGAGAAGCUCAAUUAUCACCCUGGUCUCCUGGAGUAUCCCAGGCACAGUCCCAAGAGUUCAGCUUUUCAUACUCGAGUUCCUGGGUCCUGAAGGCCUUUUUGGGGAAAGUACUGAUGUUCGUGUCAAGGUUGGGAAGAAAGGGUUUGGGAGGAACCAAGCAACAGGGAGGCAAAGAGAAGACAUCAACAAGCGAGGCAAGAACUUUCCACAGGCUCACACUGGAUACAGGACCAGAGACAAGAAGCUGGCGAAGCCUAUAUGGGUUCCCGAUGUCACAUCGCAGCUACCGCAUUGGAGGGUUAAGAGCCGCUGACAAAUCUCUUUCGGGAAGGGGCUGUUUCCCUCCCUGUUUUCCUCAGAAGAAGAGUUCCAAACAAAAGAUCUACUACCCUGAGAAGCGGUGAAGUGCUCCUGGGGCCCACCAAGGCCACACAAGUCAAGGAGUGGAUGGCCUUGCCCCAGCUAUGGCUCAGAUCACCUUUGCAGGAUGACAUCUUGUUGGGAGAUGGUCAUCAGAGACAGGGCCAUGGAAGACGCUGUCAGGAGGAGGCACAGAGGAAAGGCUAUGGGAGCACAAAGCAAGAAAGUGGCCUUCUGCAAGCCAGGAAGAGAGGCCUCCCCAGAAACCAACUCUACCAGCACAUUGAUCUUGGACUUUUGGCCUCUAGAACAUUGAGAAAAUAAAAGUCUGCUGUUAAACCACCCAACCUUUGGUAUCUUUCUAUGGCAGCCUGAGCUGACUAACACCCUUGGUAGGUGGGCAGCAUUCACCUUAUUGGGCUACAUGAUGAGAAGUUAAAGUAACUUUAGCAAUAGGCACCAUUUGAUUUCAUUGUAUAGAUAUUGUGUCUUUUGCACUGAUUUUGCCUUUUUUAGUUGUGUGUAUAUUGAUGCCUGGGCCUAGCAUUACAAGACUAGUCGAAAUGGGAAGAAAGAAAAGAAAGUGGGAAAGAUACCAAGUUCCAUAAUUGCAUCCUCUACCCACAUCCAGUUCUUAGAAUCUUUUCCAAUGGAGACUGCACCUUGUGUACACUCAAAUUCAAUCUGAGCGCACAAUCAUUUAGACAACCAAGGCAACUUUUCCAAUUUUCAGCAUCACACGCUUGGGAAAACAAGUAUUUCAAUCACUAAUUUAAAUAUUCAUUGAGGUAAUUAUUCUGAGGUUGAUGAAAAAUAUGGUGUAUCCAUGUACUGUUGCCUUCUCCUGGGUCAAGAAUGUUGUCUUUACUCUGCUGGCUCACAUUUGACCAGAAAUUGGAGUCCCAGCAAAUCUUACUAGCCACUCAGGAAGCCUAUUUUAAGAUAGUCCCAAUCUCAAACUUGUUCUAAGACUUGUAUGCUGACUGAGGAGAAAGAGCCUCAUGACAAAAAUUCAACUAGAGCUGUGGGUGACAGUUGUGUGUCUCACUACUGGUCUGGGCCCAGGUUUCCCGUGAGCACCUAAUGAAUAGACUCAAUUGCAGGGAUCGUCAAGAUGCUCACUAUGUCUACCUCAUAGCCUCAAAAGAAGUGAUAACUAACAGAAUUUGUGUAGUAUCCUGAAGGGAAAUUAAUCCAGAUAUAGAGGAAAAGAUAAGGAUUUUUUAAAACAGACAUGUGAUUCAACAGUUGUUUAAGAUGCAGAAAGCUGUAAGAGACAGUUGUUCCCACUCUAAUGACAAGAAAAAGCUGUAUGGUCUGCAAAAUCAUACGUGCUUUGAUCCCACCAGAGAGCUGAAGUUGCAAGGCCCCUGAGUCAGCUGAAGUCCAAAGCGUGAGAAAACCCCCUAUAGAAGGACAAACACAUGAAGCAGUUCAUCUUUGACAGAUAAUGGAAGGAAAAGAUGGCAGCCAUAAAUGUUCAUUGGAGAAAAUCACUGAAGAUUUCAUCAUUUCUUAAAGGCCAAGUGUGAACUAUUGUGACAGAUUAGAAACUCUGAGAGUCCCAGAUACAUAGCAUGGUUUUGCCCAUUUGCUGGGUCCUUCCUCCCACGUCCUUAGUGCUGACAAGACACAUGUAACAGGGAAAGAGGAUUUCUCAAGCUUGCCACAGUGGCGUAGGCAUAAAAGUCAUGAUCACAUGAUCGACCACCACCAGAGUACAGGCACAAAACCUGGUUGCUUCUCACAUAAAACAAAAGGCAUCUACCACUGAUGUUGGAGCUAGGAACUCGUCCAACCCUUGGCCCCAGGGAUAGGGCAACUGCUGAGGUAGGGUUAGACAGAAAAACUGUCUGUAUUGGACAAGGGGAGGAGACUUGCUCUUGCCCAAGACUUCCCAUCAUUGAAAGGUAGUGUUCCGCUACCCCAAGGGGAUGUCACAGGAACACUAGGACCCAGGUAUCCAUGGCCUGAGGCUUGAUACACAUUCAGUGCAAUCAGUAAUGUGAGUUGGUUUCGACCAAUCAUUUGAGUUGGUUGCAGACCCUUUCCUCUAAUGAGGAAAAACUGUGGUGUGGGUACAAAGUUUCCACGUUCAGAAAGAUUGGCCUUGUCCUUACAGAUAUUAUAUUGAUUGGAUUUCUCUCAACCUCCUUAAGUUAUGUUUACCAUUAUUAAAAUUAAGUGACAUUCACUUGGAAGAAGUGGUAAUACAAACAGGUUGUGAGAAUUUAUAGUGAUUUUUGAUCCCAAGCCUUGUAUCACUGUUGGGUCUUCAUGUGUGUACUUGAAAACAAAACAUGUACAAUUGUUGCACUGGUUUGAAGAUUUUAAUGGUGGAAGUGACCUAAUCAGUAAUCAGUACUGUAUCUAGAAACGAAUCUUGGAAAUAUGUGAUUAUGCUCUUUUAAAAUCGCUGAAAAGAAGGCUGGGUGUGGUGGCUCAUUCCUAUAAUUCCACACUUUGAGAGGCUGA
Molecule: long non-coding RNA, 6598 nt
Filed under: Homo sapiens (human)
Lineage: Eukaryota; Metazoa; Chordata; Mammalia; Primates; Hominidae
Description: HSALNT0295466
Source: RNAcentral